AUCUCCAUCUUACGAGGUAGUUUUGGAUGUUAUAACUCCCUCUAAUACUGCCUGGUAAUGAUGAUGAU
Non-coding RNA from Salmo salar (Atlantic salmon), 68 nucleotides. NCBI's taxonomy places the organism in Eukaryota, Metazoa, Chordata, Actinopteri, Salmoniformes, Salmonidae. The record is from Rfam.